Non-coding RNA from Triticum urartu, 462 nucleotides. Lineage: Eukaryota; Viridiplantae; Streptophyta; Magnoliopsida; Poales; Poaceae. The record is from RefSeq and is a predicted model, not a curated record.
UGGUUAUGACAUAAGGGUAAAUGUACUGGUUGGUUGCUUCAAGACUUAAUAACAGACACUAUGACAAUGGCUCAAGAGAUAUCAGAUCUACCUUCUUGGCUGGGGGCGUUAUUGGUGGCGCAUGUCUCGGUCCCCUUGAUGGCCGUGGUGGAUGGACAUGAACACGAGGGGGGAUCAGGGCGGAGAGCAGGGUGGUUGGCGGGGGACUCAUCCUUGGCAGUUCAUGGGAAAGUACGGUGUGAAGCAGAGGGGGCGCCAUGGCGAAGUGUGAAAGGAGGAAAAUAGUUGCCGGAAAGCAGGUAGAUCUACACCUUGAGAGAUGGCAUUUUGUGGUACAUUGUUUAGGUCAUUAGUGGUCACUUUUGAUGGGUGCGAUCUGUAGCAUUUGAUCCAGGGAACAAAUGGUUUUGUCCUGGUUUUGCUGAUAGGACAAUAACGGUAAGCCCACAUCCUGCAUUCAUU